Molecule: non-coding RNA, 289 nt
Organism: Cinara cedri
Lineage: Eukaryota; Metazoa; Arthropoda; Insecta; Hemiptera; Aphididae
Source: the annotation of a GenBank genome assembly
UAAACAUAUACUAUUGGUCGAUGUCAACCGUGCACCCUAAACAGAUUUCCGCUGUUUACAGGCGUAAGCGUACACACCGGCUCUCCGCCCCGAAUACACGCCCGACCGUACUCGCUUAUAUAUUUGUAAUCGUGUUGAUCGAUUUAAUCACAACAAGACGGACAACGUCGAUCAUUUAAUGUAAUUUUAAUACCGGGCUAAAAGAAACUCGCGCCCCUUAAUGUCUCGCGACAUAGCGUUCGCCCGGACAUAAUUUAACGGUCGAAUAAACCGCGCCGUAAUCGCUUUG